CCUACGGGCGGCAGCAGUGAGGAAUAUUGGUCAAUGGACGCAAGUCUGAACCAGCCAUGCCGCGUGCAGGAAGACGGCUCUAUGAGUUGUAAACUGCUUUUGUACGAGGGUAAACGCAGAUACGCGUAUCUGUCUGAAAGUAUCGUACGAAUAAGGAUCGACUAACUCCGUGCCAGCAGCCGCGGUAAUACGGAGGAUUCAAGCGUUAUCCGGAUUUAUUGGGUUUAAAGGGUGCGUAGGCGGUCGGAUAAGUUAGAGGUGAAAUCCCGAGGCUCAACUUCGGAAUUGCCGCUGAUACUGUUCGGCUAGAGAGUAGUUGCGGUAGGCGGAAUGUAUGGUGUAGCGGUGAAAUGCUUAGAGAUCAUACAGAACACCGAUUGCGAAGGCAGCUUACCAAGCUACUUCUGACGUUGAGGCACGAAAGCGUGGGGAGCGAACAGGAUUAGAUACCCUUGUAGUC
This 460-nucleotide ribosomal RNA is filed under the name uncultured bacterium. Its description in RNAcentral is "partial 16S ribosomal RNA". It matches the Rfam family "Bacterial small subunit ribosomal RNA", at positions 338 to 795 of the family's 1533-position model. The record is from RNAcentral.